Molecule: ribosomal RNA, 1089 nt
Filed under: Flavobacterium sp. soB10
Lineage: Bacteria; Pseudomonadati; Bacteroidota; Flavobacteriia; Flavobacteriales; Flavobacteriaceae
Description: bacterial SSU rRNA
Rfam family: Bacterial small subunit ribosomal RNA
Source: RNAcentral
GUUGGUAAGGUAACGGCNUACCAAGGCGACGAUGGGUAGGGGUCCUGAGAGGNNNNNCNNNCCACACUGGUACUGAGACACGGACCAGACUCCUACGGGAGGCAGCAGUGAGGAAUAUUGGUCAAUGGGCGCAAGCCUGAACCAGCCAUGCCGCGUGCAGGAUGACGGUCCUAUGGAUUGUAAACUGCUUUUGUACGGGAAGAAACACUCCUUCGUGAAGGAGCUUGACGGUACCGUAAGAAUAAGGAUCGGCUAACUCCGUGCCAGCAGCCGCGGUAAUACGGAGGAUCCAAGCGUUAUCCGGAAUCAUUGGGUUUAAAGGGUCCGUAGGCGGUCUUGUAAGUCAGUGGUGAAAGCCCAUCGCUCAACGGUGGAACGGCCAUUGAUACUGCAGGACUUGAAUUAUUGGGAAGUAACUAGAAUAUGUAGUGUAGCGGUGAAAUGCUUAGAGAUUACAUGGAAUACCAAUUGCGAAGGCAGGUUACUACCAAUUUAUUGACGCUGAUGGACGAAAGCGUGGGUAGCGAACAGGAUUAGAUACCCUGGUAGUCCACGCCGUAAACGAUGGAUACUAGCUGUUGGGGGCAACUUCAGUGGCUAAGCGAAAGUGAUAAGUAUCCCACCUGGGGAGUACGUUCGCAAGAAUGAAACUCAAAGGAAUUGACGGGGGCCCGCACAAGCGGUGGAGCAUGUGGUUUAAUUCGAUGAUACGCGAGGAACCUUACCAAGGCUUAAAUGCAGACUGACCGAUUUGGAAACAGAUCUUUCGCAAGACAGUUUACAAGGUGCUGCAUGGUUGUCGUCAGCUCGUGCCGUGAGGUGUCAGGUUAAGUCCUAUAACGAGCGCAACCCCUGUUGUUAGUUGCCAGCGAGUAGUGUCGGGAACUCUAACAAGACUGCCAGUGCAAACUGUGAGGAAGGUGGGGAUGACGUCAAAUCAUCACGGCCCUUACGCCUUGGGCUACACACGUGCUACAAUGGCCGGUACAGAGAGCAGCCACCUCGCGAGGGGGAGCGAAUCUAUAAAGCCGGUCACAGUUCGNNNNGGAGUCUGCAACUCGACUCCGUGAAGCGGAAUCGCUAGUAAUC